This 1344-nucleotide long non-coding RNA is filed under the name Equus caballus (horse). RNAcentral's name for it is "lncRNA (ENSECAG00000056661.1)". Lineage: Eukaryota; Metazoa; Chordata; Mammalia; Perissodactyla; Equidae. The record is from RNAcentral.
AACAAGAAGAAAUAACUCAAAGUAUCCAAAUGUCUGCAACUCUGAGUCAGAACCUAGAGAAGCCGUAGGAUAAAAGGGAGUCACAGGCAUAGAACAAUUGGAAGUCUCAGGGAGGAAAGGACGCUUUGCCUCAGACCCAGACAAUUGGCACUCCCGCCCAUUGUACAAACUAUUGGGACUUCCCCCACUGAUUGCUGUGUGGAUGUUUCACAAGAUUGCCCUGUCGGCACAGCAGUCGAUGGACACAGCAGGUAAUGGUCUGCCGUCUCAGAGGGCGCAGCCAGAGGCAAGGCGAUUGUCUGGAGCUGGGCGGUCAUAGAAACCAGACUGAAAUAUAUUGAGAAGUAACUGAGAAGCAAGGAAUUUGAAGGUAAAUUAUCGAUUCCACUUACAUGAAGCUUACUGAAAAAGGGAGGAAAUAAAUAACAGGUGAAGAAUGAAACUAACGGGAAGACUGCAACCUAAAAUGAAACCUCAAAGAAUAAUUCAUUGAAAAAUGAGGCAGGACGCGGACUAUUUGGCAGAGAAUUUUCACGUCUUGUUAUUUCUAUCCACAAAGUCCUGUGAGAUUUUUCUCCUUAUCAUACAAAAUGUUCAAUGGAGUAACUGUAAACUUAAGGAGAAUUGAGACAUUUCAUAACUCUCCUAUUACUGCAGAAAUGUUAUUUUCCUCUAAAUUGGCUUCAUGGUGUUGUCCAGGGACUGGUUUGAGGUAUCAGAAAAAAGUUUAACUAGAGCUGGUAUCACCUACAGUGUAUAGCUAAGACAGAAUCAUUCACUGUAAAAGUGGUGACAAAUUUAAUGGAAGCCAGGUUGUGGAAGGAGUCAACUGUGCCUUAGCAGAGUAAUGCUAGUGUCAUCAUGUUUUUAGAAACAAUGUCAAGAUUCUCAGUAAAAGGAGAAAUAUGCAUUUUUUUGUAUGUGCGUAAAGCUAGAAUACAUUAUCUCCAGAAAAAUAGGAAGAAAUAAAAUAAAAAUUAUUAAAUUAACCUCCACAUUUCCAAUGUUUAUUGCUUUUUAGAUAACUAGUGUGGAAAUCAAUAAAGCUCUACGUGCUGUGUGGGAGAUUGAAUUGGCAUUACAGCGUAAAUAAUGGGUCAGAGCAAUCACCUUUCCUUUCAGUCUAGAAACAGAGAUAGGAGGACCUCAUUUAGGACCUCCUGGUCAAUGACUGUGUGGGGGAGGAAGACAUUUCCUGUACUCACUCUGGGUCCUUUUGGCUGGACAAUGAAUUAAAUUCACAUGGGACAGAAUAACAGGAGAAAAGUAAACAAAGCUUUACAACAUGUGUACAUGGGAGAGGCUCAGGCUAAUUGAGCAACUCACCAAAAUGGCUGAAGCCAU